CCUACGGGUGGCAGCAGUGGGGAAUAUUGGGCAAUGGGCGCAAGCCUGACCCAGCAACGCCGCGUGAAGGAAGAAGGCUUUCGGGUUGUAAACUUCUUUUCUCAGGGACGAAGCAAGUGACGGUACCUGAGGAAUAAGCCACGGCUAACUACGUGCCAGCAGCCGCGGUAAUACGUAGGUGGCAAGCGUUAUCCGGAUGUACUGGGUGUAAAGGGCGUUUAGGCGGUACUGCAAGUCAGAUGUGAAAACCACGGGCUCAACCUGUGGCCUGCAGUUGAAACUGUAGUUCUUGAGUACUGGAGAGGCAGACGGAAUUCCUAGUGUAGCGGUGACAUGCGUAGAUAGUAGGAGGAACACCAGUGGCGAAGGCGGUCUGCUGGACAGCAACUGACGCUGAGGCGCGAAAGCGUGGGGAGCAAACAGGAUUAGAUACCCGUGUAGUC
This 443-nucleotide ribosomal RNA is filed under the name uncultured bacterium. RNAcentral describes it as "partial 16S ribosomal RNA". It matches the Rfam family "Bacterial small subunit ribosomal RNA", at positions 338 to 795 of the family's 1533-position model. The record is from RNAcentral.